CUUUGGGAUAACCCUCGGAAACGGGGGCUAAUACUGGAUAUGACCUUCUGCCGCAUGGUGGGGGGUGGAAAGUUUUUCGGCCUGGGAUGGGCUCGCGGCCUAUCAGCUUGUUGGUGGGGUGAUGGCCUACCAAGGCGGUGACGGGUAGCCGGCCUGAGAGGGCGACCGGCCACACUGGGACUGAGACACGGCCCAGACUCCUACGGGAGGCAGCAGUGGGGAAUAUUGCACAAUGGGCGGAAGCCUGAUGCAGCGACGCCGCGUGAGGGAUGACGGCCUUCGGGUUGUAAACCUCUUUCAGCUCCGACGAAGCGUAAGUGACGGUAGGGGCAGAAGAAGCGCCGGCCAACUACGUGCCAGCAGCCGCGGUAAGACGUAGGGCGCGAGCGUUGUCCGGAUUUAUUGGGCGUAAAGAGCUCGUAGGCGGCUUGUCGCGUCGACUGUGAAAACCCGGGGCUCAACUGCGGGCUUGCAGUCGAUACGGGCAGGCUAGAGUUCGGUAGGGGAGACUGGAAUUCCUGGUGUAGCGGUGAAAUGCGCAGAUAUCAGGAGGAACACCGGUGGCGAAGGCGGGUCUCUGGGCCGAUACUGACGCUGAGGAGCGAAAGCGUGGGGAGCGAACAGGAUUAGAUACCCUGGUAGUCCACGCUGUAAACGUUGGGCGC
Molecule: ribosomal RNA, 665 nt
Filed under: uncultured Micromonosporaceae bacterium
Lineage: Bacteria; Bacillati; Actinomycetota; Actinomycetes; Micromonosporales; Micromonosporaceae
Description: bacterial SSU rRNA
Rfam family: Bacterial small subunit ribosomal RNA
Source: RNAcentral